CCUACGGGAGGCAGCAGUGGGGAAUAUUGGGCAAUGGGCGCAAGCCUGACCCAGCAACGCCGCGUGAAGGAAGAAGGCUUUCGGGUUGUAAACUUCUUUUGUCAGGGAAGAGUAGAAGACGGUACCUGACGAAUAAGCCACGGCUAACUACGUGCCAGCAGCCGCGGUAAUACGUAGGUGGCAAGCGUUGUCCGGAUUUAUUGGGUGUAAAGGGCGUGUAGCCGGGUUGACAAGUCAGAUGUGAAAUCCUGCGGCUUAACCGCAGAACUGCAUUUGAUACUGUUGAUCUUGAGUACUGGAGAGGCAGACGGAAUUCCGAGUGUAGCGGUGAAAUGCGUAGAUAUUAGGAGGAACACCAGUGGCGAAGGCGGUCUGCUGGACAGCAACUGACGGUGAGGCGCGAAAGCGUGGGGAGCAAACAGGAUUAGAUACCCGGGUAGUC
RNAcentral lists this ribosomal RNA (442 nucleotides) under uncultured bacterium. RNAcentral describes it as "partial 16S ribosomal RNA". It matches the Rfam family "Bacterial small subunit ribosomal RNA", at positions 338 to 795 of the family's 1533-position model. The record is from RNAcentral.